Molecule: ribosomal RNA, 253 nt
Filed under: uncultured bacterium
Lineage: Bacteria
Description: partial 16S ribosomal RNA
Rfam family: Bacterial small subunit ribosomal RNA
Source: RNAcentral
UACGUAGGUGGCAAGCGUUGUCCGGAUUUAUUGGGUUUAAAGGGUGCGUAGGCGGCUUUAUAAGUCAGUGCUGAAAUAUCCCGGCUUAACCGGGAGGGUGGCAUUGAUACUGCAGAGCUUGAGUGAAGUCGAGGUAGGCGGAAUUGACGGUGUAGCGGUGAAAUGCUUAGAUAUCGUCAAGAACACCGAUAGUGAAGACAGCUUACUAGACUUCAACUGACGCUGAGGCACGAAAGCUAGGGUAGCGAACGGG